GACCUCUCUGGAAUGGAUAGAAACAGGCCCUGGCUCUGCCACUGUAGUCAGAGAAAAAUUUUUUUGGUAUCCAAAGUUUGUGAGCAACUUACCCUUACAAAGAUGAUGCCUAAUGUAAAAAAGCAGGGAAGGUUUUUCCACCUAGGAUGAAAUUCUCACUUACUCGUUAGGCUCUGGGAAACAUCUAGGCUGCAGGAUGGGAAAGCGCAGAGGAUCUAAGAUUGAGGAUUCUGAGGGAAAAGACAGAUCAAAGGAAGGAGAGCAUCAUUUCUCCAGUCAGGGAACUUGGAAUGAGUGGGCAGCCUGUGCUGAAGGAGAAAGGUUUGUAUUUUCUUGUGACUAUGAAAACAGCUUUUCGAAUGGCAUUUGUGAUUGCCUGCUCCUGGUCCACCAAAAUGAAGCAGCCCAGGCUCUGAACCAAGAUAAUUGAGUCCAGUGGUGGAAUUCUCCAGGAAGAAGCUAAGUAGCUGCUACUUUGGACUCACAACAUCCUGCAGAGAUGCUGAGUGCCUCAAAGAGCCUAAGCAGUAGGAUUGUGGUCUUCCAGCACAUACAGAAAUUUUCAGAAAGUGCUUUUGCUUUAUUAAUGAAAAUAAAGAUGAUAUGUGCAAAUUAA
Pseudopipra pipra is the source of this 616-nucleotide long non-coding RNA. RefSeq lists it as uncharacterized. The record is from RefSeq and is a predicted model, not a curated record. Lineage: Eukaryota; Metazoa; Chordata; Aves; Passeriformes; Pipridae. The transcript has 2 exons.